RNAcentral lists this ribosomal RNA (253 nucleotides) under uncultured bacterium. RNAcentral's name for it is "partial 16S ribosomal RNA". It matches the Rfam family "Bacterial small subunit ribosomal RNA", at positions 524 to 776 of the family's 1533-position model. The record is from RNAcentral.
UACGUAGGUCCCGAGCGUUGUCCGGAUUUAUUGGGCGUAAAGGGAGCGUAGACGGCAGAGCAAGUCUGAAGUGAAAGCCCGCGGCCCAACUGCGGGACUGCUUUGGAAACUGCCCGGCUAGAGUGCUGGAGAGGUAAGCGGAAUUCCUAGUGUAGCGGUGAAAUGCGUAGAUAUUAGGAGGAACACCAGUGGCGAAGGCGGCUUACUGGACGGUAACUGACGUUGAGGCUCGAAAGCGUGGGGAGCAAACAGG